This 148-nucleotide non-coding RNA is filed under the name Pan troglodytes (chimpanzee). Lineage: Eukaryota; Metazoa; Chordata; Mammalia; Primates; Hominidae. The record is from Rfam by way of RNAcentral.
GCCAGGUGUGGUGGUGCACACCUGUAGUCCCAGCUACUUGGGAGGCUGAGGUGGGAGGAUUGCUUGAACCCAGGAGGUUGAGGCUGCUGUGAGCCAUGAUUGCACCACUGCACUCCAGCCUGGGUGAUGGAGUAAGAACCUGUCUUAA